Molecule: ribosomal RNA, 356 nt
Filed under: Arthroderma lenticulare
Lineage: Eukaryota; Fungi; Ascomycota; Eurotiomycetes; Onygenales; Arthrodermataceae
Description: eukaryotic LSU rRNA
Rfam family: Eukaryotic large subunit ribosomal RNA
Source: RNAcentral
GGGUGGUAAAUUUCAUCUAAAGCUAAAUAUUGGCCGGAGACCGAUAGCGCACAAGUAGAGUGAUCGAAAGGUUAAAAGCACCUUGAAAAGGGAGUUAAACAGCACGUGAAAUUGUUGAAAGGGAAGCGCUUGCGGCCAGACUCGGGCGCAGGGUUCAGCGGGUGCGUGUCACCCGUGCACUCCCUGCCGCCCGGGCCAGCAUCAGUUCUAACGGUCGGUCAAAGGCCCCCGGAAUGUGUCGUCUCUCGGGACGUCUUAUAGCCGGGGGUGCAAUGCGGCCCGUCGGGACUGAGGAACGCGCUUCGGCUCGGAUGCUGGCGUAAUGGCCGUAAGCGGCCCGUCUGAAAAACACGGAC